CCUCUAUCUUCUUUGUUACUCACUGUAUGACACGUUCAUAGAUCAAUUCCCUCUAUCUUCUUUGAUCCACGGAGGUGGCAAAGGAACUCUAUCAAACGCCAUAAGAAGUUUGAUACCUUUUAGUUAAAUUCAGGUACCUAUUUGGCUUAAAACAUCAAUGCAAUCUUUUAAAAGACCAAAUAAAAAUUAAGAUUCAAAGGGUCGUCGUCAUCAUCAUCAUCAUAAUGGUUGCGGAUCUAAUGAUUGAUUAUCUUUAAGGUGUAAUAACAAAUAGAGUAUUGUUGUCGUUGUUGGUGGAAAUGACUUAGUAGUGCUUUACUCUCAAGUAUUAGAAUCCAUAAGAAAGGUGAAAUUUUGUUGCUAUUUGCCCCCAUAAUCGAUUUACACUUUAUUUUGUGGUCAAUUUUAUGCGAUUUCUAAAUCUUUCUUCUAUUUGGUUAUGGAAAUUUGAGAAAAUUUAGGAUUUUUUUAUGUUGACUAUGGUUUUCGAUUGUUG
RNAcentral lists this long non-coding RNA (496 nucleotides) under Medicago truncatula (barrel medic). RNAcentral describes it as "lncRNA gene2354". Lineage: Eukaryota; Viridiplantae; Streptophyta; Magnoliopsida; Fabales; Fabaceae. The record is from RNAcentral.